GACGAACGCUGGCGGCGUGCUUAACACAUGCAAGUCGAACGGAAAGGCCUGCUUUCCCUUGUGGAUUGCGGGUACUCGAGUGGCGAACGGGUGAGUAACACGUGAGUGAUCUGCCCCCAACUUGGGUAUAAGCCUGGGAAACUGGGUCUAAUUCCCGAUAGGACUGCAGGGUGGUGCCUGUGGUGGAAAACGAUUUUCUAGUGGUUGGGGAUGAGCUCGCGGCCUAUCAGCUUGUUGGUGGGGGAAUGGCCUACCAAGGCGGCGACGGGUAGCCGGCCUGAGAGGGUGGACGGCCACAUUGGGACUGAGAUACGGCCCAGACUCCUACGGGAGGCAGCAGUGGGGAAUAUUGCACAAUGGGCGGAAGCCUGAUGCAGCGACGCCGCGUGGGGGAUGACGGCCUUCGGGUUGUAAACUCCUUUCGACCGCGAGGAAGCCACCUGGUUGGAAGGGUGGUGACGGUAGUGGUAGAAGAAGCACCGGCUAACUACGUG
Molecule: ribosomal RNA, 494 nt
Filed under: uncultured bacterium
Lineage: Bacteria
Description: partial 16S ribosomal RNA
Rfam family: Bacterial small subunit ribosomal RNA
Source: RNAcentral